RNAcentral lists this ribosomal RNA (494 nucleotides) under Travancoriana pollicaris. RNAcentral's name for it is "partial 16S ribosomal RNA". It matches the Rfam family "Bacterial large subunit ribosomal RNA", at positions 1832 to 2576 of the family's 2925-position model. The record is from RNAcentral. Lineage: Eukaryota; Metazoa; Arthropoda; Malacostraca; Decapoda; Gecarcinucidae.
UCUAUUUGGAGAUAUAAGAAGUCUGGCCUGCCCACUGAUAUAAGUGUUUAAGGGCCGCGGUAUUCUAACCGUGCAAAGGUAGCAUAAUCAUUAGGUUUUUAAAUGGAAUCUCGUAUGAAUGGUUGAACAAAAGAAAAGCUGUCUUUAUAUUAAAUUUGAAUUUAACUUUUAAGUGAGAAGGCUUAAAUAAUUUAGAGGGACGAUAAGACCCUAUAAAGCUUUACAUUAAAAUUAUAUUUUGUUGAAUUUGUAGUUUAAAAAUUUAAUUUAAUUAUUUGUUUUGUUGGGGCGACAACAGUAAAAUUUAUAUUAACUGCUUGAAAAAAAAACAAUAAUAAGUGAUUAGAGUAGUAGAUCCUAUAUAAAGAUUAAAAGAUUAAGUUACUUUAGGGAUAACAGUGUAAUUUUUUUUAAGAGUUCUUAUCGAAAAAAAAGUUUACAACCUCGAUGUUGAAUUAAGAUAUCUUUAUAAUGCAGCUGUUAUAAGGGAAGGU